RNAcentral lists this transfer RNA (73 nucleotides) under Mustela putorius furo (domestic ferret). It matches the Rfam family "tRNA". From Rfam's summary of the family: Transfer RNA (tRNA) molecules are approximately 80 nucleotides in length. Their secondary structure includes four short double-helical elements and three loops (D, anti-codon, and T loops). The record is from Rfam by way of RNAcentral. Lineage: Eukaryota; Metazoa; Chordata; Mammalia; Carnivora; Mustelidae.
ACCUGGCUGGCUUAGUCAGUAGAGCAUGUGACUCUUGAUCUCAAGGUUGUGAGUUUGAGCCCCAUGUUGGGCA